GAUGAACGCUGACAGAAUGCUUAACACAUGCAAGUCUUUGGCGAAUCUGUGCUUGCACCGGCUAGCCAAGGCGGACGGGUGAGUAACGCGUAAAGAACUUGCCCUGCAGACAGGGAUAACAGACGGAAACGACUGAUAACACCUGAUACAGUUGCCGGCACGCAUGUGCCUGGCAAUGAAAAGAGAUGCUGCAGGAGAGCUUUGCGUCCUAUUAGCUUGUUGGUGAGGUGACGGCUCACCAAGGCGAUGAUAGGUAGCCGGCCUGAGAGGGUGAACGGCCACAAGGGGACUGAGAUACGGCCCUUACUCCUACGGGAGGCAGCAGUGGGGAAUAUUGGACAAUGGGGGCAUCCCUGAUCCAGCAAUUCUGUGUGCACGAAGAAGGUUUUCGGAUUGUAAAGUGCUUUCAGCAGGGAAGAAGAAAGUGACGGUACCUGCAGAAGAAGCGACGGCUAAAUACGUG
RNAcentral lists this ribosomal RNA (463 nucleotides) under uncultured bacterium. RNAcentral describes it as "partial 16S ribosomal RNA". It matches the Rfam family "Bacterial small subunit ribosomal RNA", at positions 28 to 507 of the family's 1533-position model. The record is from RNAcentral.